GAAAUUUUGUUGUUAGUUACUGGUCAGAAAGUUAUCGGGCAAGAAUGUUAGCAUUAAGGAAUAGCAACUUAAAAACUUCCGAAGUUGUUGCUGAAGUUUCAGCUCCGAGGACCUUUUGCGUUGUUAUUACUUCGAAAUUUCUCUAGGUGGUUCCCAGUCUUGAUCGGGUCGGUGCUGCGAGAGCUCGGUCAAGCUUUUAUUUUUCUUUUAAGCAUUACUAUUAGGGAUUUCUGUAUUCUAUGAUGUUAUGGUAUUUGUGAAGAUUAUGUGUUUAAUUAAUGGUUGUGAUGAAUAUUAUGUGAUGAAUGAUUCAUUUUGACUGUGUUAUGAUAGUAGUAGUUUUA
This is a long non-coding RNA of Gossypium arboreum, 344 nucleotides long. RefSeq lists it as uncharacterized. NCBI's taxonomy places the organism in Eukaryota, Viridiplantae, Streptophyta, Magnoliopsida, Malvales, Malvaceae. The transcript has 4 exons. The record is from RefSeq and is a predicted model, not a curated record.